CCGGCGCACGGGUGAGUAACACGUAUGGAACCUGCCCUAUGCAGGGGGAUAAGCGGAAGAAAUUCCGACUAAUACAGCAUAACACUCCUGAGGGACAUCCCUUGGGAGUCAAAGGAGGCAACUCCGGUGACGGAUGGGCAUGCGGCGCAUUAGGUAGUUGGUAGGGUAACGGCCUACCAAGCCGACGAUGCGUAGGGGUUCUGAGAGGAAGGUCCCCCACAUUGGAACUGAGACACGGUCCAAACUCCUACGGAAGGCAGCAG
RNAcentral lists this ribosomal RNA (263 nucleotides) under uncultured bacterium. Its description in RNAcentral is "partial 16S ribosomal RNA". It matches the Rfam family "Bacterial small subunit ribosomal RNA", at positions 95 to 354 of the family's 1533-position model. The record is from RNAcentral.